RNAcentral lists this ribosomal RNA (1326 nucleotides) under Polypogon tarsicrinata. RNAcentral's name for it is "16S ribosomal RNA". Lineage: Eukaryota; Metazoa; Arthropoda; Insecta; Lepidoptera; Erebidae. The record is from RNAcentral.
AAUUGGGGGGUUAAAGUAUAUUAAUAGAAAAAAUUUAAAAAAUUAUAGUGAAUUAUGUAUUGUAAAAGAAUUUUGAAAUAGGUGAAAAUAAAUUUAGUUUAAAGUAAUUUUAAUUUAAUGUAUCUUGUGUAUCAGAGUUUAUUAAAUAAUAUUUUUGUAUACUAAAAAAUUCUCGAAUUUAAGAGAGAUAAUUAAUUAUAAAAGUUAUUGUUACAUAAAUAUUUUACAUAAUUAAUUUGAAAUGAAAUGUUAAUCGUUCUUAAAUAUAUCUAGUUUUUUUAGAAAAAAAUUUAAUUUUUAAUUAAUUAACUAAAUAAUUAAUUAAUUAAUUAUUUAGUUAAUAUUAACUAAAUAAUUAAUUAAUUAAUUAUUUAGUUAAUUAAUUUUAUAAUUUAAGGGAUAAGCUUUAAAUUAAAUUAAUAUAAUAAAAUUUAAUUUAAUUUUGAAAAUUAUAUAAUUUAUAUUGUUAAUAAAUUUUAGUUUAUUAUAAAUAAUUUCAAAAUAAAUAAAAUUUAAUAAUAAUUUAUAAUUAUUUAUAAAAAUAUAAUUUUUAAUAAAAAUAAAUUAAUUAUAAUGAUAAAAUUAGUAUAUAAUAUUAAUAUAUAAUUUAUAUUAAUUAAUAUUUAAGAAAAUUAUUUUAAAGGAAUUCGGCAAAAAUUUAUAUUCACUUGUUUAUCAAAAACAUGUCUUUUUGUAAAUAAUAUAAAGUCUAAUCUGCCCACUGAUAAAUUAUUAAAGGGCUGCAGUAUUUUGACUGUACAAAGGUAGCAUAAUCAUUAGUCAUUUAAUUGAUGACUUGUAUGAAAGAUUGGAUGAAAUAUAGACUGUCUCUAAAAUAAUAUAUAGAAUUUAAUUUUUUAAUUAAAAAGUUAAAAUAAAUUAAAAAGACGAGAAGACCCUAUAGAGUUUUAUAGAUAAAUAUAUUAAAUUUAUUUAUAAAUAUUAAAAAUUUUAAUUUAUUAAUUUAUUUUAUUGGGGUGAUAGAAAAAUAAAAAUAACUUUUUUUAAUAUAUUAUUAUAGUAUACAUAAAUAAGUGAAUAUAUGAUCCAAUUUUAUUGAUUAUAAGAAAAAAUUACCUUAGGGAUAACAGCGUAAUUUUUUUUUUUAGUACAAAUAAAAAAAAAAGUUUGCGACCUCGAUGUUGGAUUAAGAUAAAAUUUAAAUGUAGAAGUUAAAAAUUUUUGAUCUGUUCGAUCAUUAAAAUCUUACAUGAUCUGAGUUCAAACCGGUGUGAGCCAGGUUGGUUUCUAUCUUUUAUAAAAAAAAAAUAUUUUAGUACGAAAGGAUUAAAUAUUUAAAUUAGAUUUAUUAAAAUGAAUUUUAUU